Long non-coding RNA from Glossina fuscipes, 337 nucleotides. RefSeq lists it as uncharacterized. The transcript has 3 exons. Lineage: Eukaryota; Metazoa; Arthropoda; Insecta; Diptera; Glossinidae. The record is from RefSeq and is a predicted model, not a curated record.
AACUAUAUGCAUACUUUAUAUUUAUUAGCACUUUUUCUCAAUUUGGGUGCAAUGAACAAAAACAGCAAAGAUCGUAAACAGCAAUUUCUCAUGUAGAUGUCAAGGCCGUCUCGAAUAAAAACUUUUAUACGGCAUCCUGUUGUAUUCACAAUACCGGUGAUCUACGGCAACAAAAGUUUGUAAAAUUUUGGAUACAAGUCAUCCAGACGACGGUCAUUUUAUUUUACACUGGGCAUGGACAACACUGUCGUUAUCGAUAGUAAGUUGUAUGAGGAGUAUACGUUAAAAUGGACUCGUCCAACCCAUUUACAGUAGGUCUCACCUUGAGACGUAAUCC